UCAGGAUGAACGCUGGCGGCGUGCAUAACACAUUCAAGUCGAACGGACUGAUUCGAUAGCUUGCUAUGAUGAAAGGUUAGUGGCGGACGGGUGGAGUAACGCGUGAGCAACCUGCCCCCUAUGUGCGGGGAUAACGUCUGGAAACGGACGGCUAAUACCGCAUAAUCCAAAUGGAAUCGCAUGGUUUUAUUGGCAAAGAUUUAUUGUCAUAGGGAUGGGCUCGCGUCCGAUUAGAUAGUUGGCGGGGCAACGGCCCACCAAGUCAACGAUCGGUAGCCGGACUGAGAGGUUGAACGGCCACAUUGGAACUGAGAAACGGUCCAGACUCCUACGGGAGGCAGCAGUGGGGAAUAUUGGGCAAUGGAGGAAACUCUGACGCAGUGAACCGCCGCGUGCAGGAAGAAGGUUUUCGGAUUGUAAACUGCUUUAGUCAGGGAAGAUACAAGACAGUACCUGAAGAAUAAGCACCGGCUAACUAUGUGCCAGCAGCAGC
Molecule: ribosomal RNA, 493 nt
Filed under: uncultured bacterium
Lineage: Bacteria
Description: bacterial SSU rRNA
Rfam family: Bacterial small subunit ribosomal RNA
Source: RNAcentral